This 253-nucleotide ribosomal RNA is filed under the name uncultured bacterium. RNAcentral's name for it is "partial 16S ribosomal RNA". It matches the Rfam family "Bacterial small subunit ribosomal RNA", at positions 524 to 776 of the family's 1533-position model. The record is from RNAcentral.
UACAGAGGGUGCGAGCGUUGUCCGGAAUCACUGGGCGUAAAGCGCACGUAGGCGGAUCGCUAAGUCAGGGGUGAAAUCCUGGAGCUCAACUCCAGAACUGCCUUUGAUACUGGCAAUCUCGAGUCCGGGAGAGGUGAGUGGAACUGCGAGUGUAGAGGUGAAAUUCGUAGAUAUUCGCAAGAACACCAGUGGCGAAGGCGGCUCACUGGCCCGGUACUGACGCUGAGGUGCGAAAGCGUGGGGAGCAAACAGG